This is a long non-coding RNA of Camelus ferus (Wild Bactrian camel), 347 nucleotides long. It matches the Rfam family "HOXA transcript at the distal tip, conserved region 3". The record is from Rfam. Lineage: Eukaryota; Metazoa; Chordata; Mammalia; Artiodactyla; Camelidae.
UUUGGGGGCAGUGUUUACAGACUCUUCUUCUCUGCCUCCGCCCUGCUCUUGGCCCUGGCUUUGUGCUUCUUCUGUUUUCCAGCCAGACUCAGAAAAACGAAAACGCAGCUCGGGGAGCCCCCACCAGCCGGCGCCCGUGCCAGUUCACCUCUGGCCGUGGUGAGGCUGCCGGUGCAUGCCGCGUCCAAGGCCAGCUCCACAUUCCUCCCUCCCUCUCCCCACUUCACCAGAGACUGAACCCGGCAUGCAGAGGAAGGGCCCUCAGCUCCACAGACUGCCAAAGUCGACUGGGUCCCCCCUCACCAAAAAUGGUGAGACAGGAUUGUCUGCUGAGGAGCUCCAAGCAG